Molecule: transfer RNA, 64 nt
Filed under: Alphaproteobacteria bacterium
Lineage: Bacteria; Pseudomonadati; Pseudomonadota; Alphaproteobacteria
Description: tRNA-Met
Rfam family: tRNA
About the family: Transfer RNA (tRNA) molecules are approximately 80 nucleotides in length. Their secondary structure includes four short double-helical elements and three loops (D, anti-codon, and T loops).
Source: RNAcentral
GAGUAGCUCAGUUGGUUAGAGCAGCGGAAUCAUAAUCCGCGUGUCGGGGGUUCAAGUCCCUCUC